UACGUAUGGUGCAAGCGUUAUCCGGAUUUACUGGGUGUAAAGGGAGCGUAGACGGAUAGGCAAGUCUGGAGUGAAAGCCCGGGGCUCAACCCCGGGUCUGCUUUGGAAACUGUUUAUCUAGAGUGCUGGAGAGGUAAGUGGAAUUCCUAGUGUAGCGGUGAAAUGCGUAGAUAUUAGGAGGAACACCAGUGGCGAAGGCGGCUUACUGGACAGUAACUGACGUUGAGGCUCGAAAGCGUGGGGAGCAAACAGG
This 253-nucleotide ribosomal RNA is filed under the name uncultured bacterium. RNAcentral's name for it is "partial 16S ribosomal RNA". It matches the Rfam family "Bacterial small subunit ribosomal RNA", at positions 524 to 776 of the family's 1533-position model. The record is from RNAcentral.